UAUCUGCAGUCGAGCGGACUUUGGGAGCUUGGUCUCCUCCUUGUCGCCGGACGGGGGAGUAUACGUGGGCGCCUGCGUAUGAGACUGGGAUAUAACCCGGGAACCGGGGCUAAUAUACGAUAAUUUUUUUUUACACAUGUGUAAAAGCUGAGAGAUGGUUUCUGCUAUCACUCUUAUAUGGGCCCCCGGCGCAUUUUCUCUUUGGUGAGGUAACGGCUCACCAAGGCGACAAUGCGUAUCCCACCUGAGAGGGGGAUCUGCCCCACUGGGACUGAGACACGGCCCCCACUCCUACGGGAGGCGCCACUAUGGAAUCUUCCCCAAUGGACAAAAGUCUGACAGAGCACCGCCCCGUGAGUGAUGUAAGUGUUUUGAUCGUAAAACUCUGUUGUUAGGGAAGAAAAACAUACCCGAGAAACUGCGCGUACCUUGACAGUACCUAACCCCAAACCCCCAGCUAACUACAUGUCCCCACCCCCGGUAAUACAUAUAGGGGGAGCGUUGUUCCCGAUAAUUUGGGGGAAAACGCGCGCGGGGGGUCCCUUAAAUUUCAUAUGAAAGCCCCCCGCGUCUCA
Molecule: ribosomal RNA, 575 nt
Filed under: Bacillus sp. RPAUOCAS0107
Lineage: Bacteria; Bacillati; Bacillota; Bacilli; Caryophanales; Bacillaceae
Description: partial 16S ribosomal RNA
Rfam family: Bacterial small subunit ribosomal RNA
Source: RNAcentral